RNAcentral lists this ribosomal RNA (253 nucleotides) under uncultured bacterium. RNAcentral's name for it is "partial 16S ribosomal RNA". It matches the Rfam family "Bacterial small subunit ribosomal RNA", at positions 524 to 776 of the family's 1533-position model. The record is from RNAcentral.
UACGUAGGGUGCGAGCGUUGUCCGGAAUUAUUGGCGUAAAGGGCUCGUAGGCGGUUUGUCGCGUCGGCCGUGAAAACCUGCAGCUUAACUGUGGGCUUGCGGUCGAUACGGGCAUCACUGGAGUUCGGCAGGGGAGACUGGAAUUCCUGGUGUAGCGGUGAAAUGCGCAGAUAUCAGGAGGAACACCGGUGGCGAAGGCGGGUCUCUGGGCCGAUACUGACGCUGAGGAGCGAAAGCGUGGGGAGCGAACAGG